RNAcentral lists this ribosomal RNA (253 nucleotides) under uncultured Pseudolabrys sp. RNAcentral's name for it is "partial 16S ribosomal RNA". It matches the Rfam family "Bacterial small subunit ribosomal RNA", at positions 524 to 776 of the family's 1533-position model. Lineage: Bacteria; Pseudomonadati; Pseudomonadota; Alphaproteobacteria; Hyphomicrobiales; Xanthobacteraceae. The record is from RNAcentral.
UACGAAGGGGGCUAGCGUUGCUCGGAAUUACUGGGCGUAAAGCGCACGUAGGCGGUCUCUUAAGUCGGUGGUGAAAUCCUGGAGCUCAACUCCAGAACUGCCUUCGAUACUGGGGGACUCGAGUUCGGGAGAGGUGAGUGGAACUGCGAGUGUAGAGGUGAAAUUCGUAGAUAUUCGCAAGAACACCAGUGGCGAAGUCGGCUCACUGGCCCGAUACUGACGCUGAGGUGCGAAAGCGUGGGGAGCAAACAGG